Molecule: transfer RNA, 75 nt
Filed under: Bacteriophage sp.
Also listed under: 1 other name
Description: tRNA-Leu
Rfam family: tRNA
About the family: Transfer RNA (tRNA) molecules are approximately 80 nucleotides in length. Their secondary structure includes four short double-helical elements and three loops (D, anti-codon, and T loops).
Source: RNAcentral
ACAGGAAUAGCAGAAUGGCAUAUGCCGGAGUUUCAAAAUCUCUGUGAUCUAUGGGUUCGAAUUCCAUUUCCUGUA